Molecule: ribosomal RNA, 460 nt
Filed under: uncultured bacterium
Lineage: Bacteria
Description: partial 16S ribosomal RNA
Rfam family: Bacterial small subunit ribosomal RNA
Source: RNAcentral
CCUACGAGUGGCAGCAGUGAGGAAUAUUGGUCAAUGGGCGCGAGCCUGAAGCAGCCAAGUAGCGUGAAGGAUGACUGCCCUACGGGUUGUAAACUUCUUUUAUAAAGGAAUAAAGAGAGGCACGUGUGCCCUUUUGUAUGUACUUUAUGAAUAAGGAUCGGCGAACCCCGUGCCAGCAGCCGCGGUAAUACGGAGGAUCCGAGCGUUAUCCGGAUUUAUUGGGUUUAAAGGGUGCGGAGAUGGGUUGUUAAGUCAGUUGUGAAAGUGUGCGGCUCAACCGUAAAAUUGCAAUUGAUACUGGCAGCCUUGAGUACAGUUGAGGUAGGCGGAAUUCGUGGUGUAGCGGUGAAAUGCAUAGAUAUCACGAAGAACUCCGAUGGCGAAGGCAGCCUACUAAACUGCCACUGACAUUGAUGCUCGAAAGUGUGGGUAUCAAACAGGAUUAGAUACCCGUGUAGUC